UACGAAGGUGGCGAAUGAUGCUCGGAUUCACUGGGCGUAAAGCGUUGGUAGGUGGUGUAAUAAGUUAGAGGUGAAAGCCCCGUGCUCAACAUGGGAACUGCCUUUAAAACUGUCGCACUAGAAUGUGGAAGAGGAUGGUAGAAUUGCUGGUGUAGAGGUAAAAUUCGUAGAUAUCAGCAGGAAUACCCAUGGCGAAGGCAGCCAUCUGGUCCAUUAUUGACACUGAGCAACGAGAGCGUGGGGAGCAAACAGG
This 253-nucleotide ribosomal RNA is filed under the name uncultured bacterium. Its description in RNAcentral is "partial 16S ribosomal RNA". It matches the Rfam family "Bacterial small subunit ribosomal RNA", at positions 524 to 776 of the family's 1533-position model. The record is from RNAcentral.